AUGACCUUGGUGUUCACCUUGAUGCUUGAGGUCCUCCUGUUCCUGAGAGGAACGGGAGCCCAGUCAGUGACCCAGCCUGACGGCCGCAUCACUGUCUCUGAAGGAGCCCGUCUGGAGCUGAGGUGCAAAUACUCAUCUUCUGUUCAACCGACUCUCUUCUGGUACGUGCAGUACCCCAAUCAAGGACUCCAGCUUCUCCUGGAGUACACAUCUAGAAACAGCCUUGUCUCAGGUAUCAAAGGUUUUGAGGCUGAAUUUAGGAAGAGUGAGACCUCCUUCCACCUGAGGAAAACAUCAGCCCAUUGGAAAGACUCGGCCAAGUACUUCUGUGCUCUGAGUGACACAGUGACUAAGACUACAGUGGGAGAUGAACACAAACCUCCUGACACAUAG
Molecule: non-coding RNA, 393 nt
Organism: Balaenoptera acutorostrata (minke whale)
Lineage: Eukaryota; Metazoa; Chordata; Mammalia; Artiodactyla; Balaenopteridae
Source: the annotation of a RefSeq genome assembly